GGCGAGUUAGCCAAGCGGUCUAAGGCGCCAGACUAAGGCUUAAGCGCGUUGCUUAUGUAAUAUCUGGUCCGAAAGGGCGUGGGUUCGAAUCCCACACUCGUCA
This is a non-coding RNA of Ceratobasidium sp. 392, 103 nucleotides long. The record is from the annotation of a GenBank genome assembly. NCBI's taxonomy places the organism in Eukaryota, Fungi, Basidiomycota, Agaricomycetes, Cantharellales, Ceratobasidiaceae.